GAAUAUUGGUGUUAUUGUGAGCCGUGCUCGGACCAUCAGCAACCUUCUGUGUGGUGUCACGUGCCAAGAACUGGAGGAUGCCAUUGGCAACCUCAACAGGAUUAACCCAAGACCUCUGAGUCAUGAAGAGAUAAGUGAGUGUGCAGAUGGUGAGUAUCUAUACUGGUACGUGUGUGGUUGUGUGUGGUGUAUAUUUACUGUAAACUUUUUGUUGUUGCUGGACAGCAAAGAAGUUUUUUAGAUUAUUUUGGGCGUCAGGUUUAUUUCCAUAAGGAGAAUCUAUUUGAAAGUUAUUUACUCAUUGAAGCGUUGGUGACUGGACUCCAAU
This is a long non-coding RNA of Astatotilapia calliptera (eastern happy), 328 nucleotides long. The record is from Ensembl. Lineage: Eukaryota; Metazoa; Chordata; Actinopteri; Cichliformes; Cichlidae.